Molecule: long non-coding RNA, 749 nt
Organism: Myodes glareolus (Bank vole)
Lineage: Eukaryota; Metazoa; Chordata; Mammalia; Rodentia; Cricetidae
Source: RefSeq, a predicted model, not a curated record
ACCUCCCCACUCUUCCUCCUUAUCUCCCUCCUGCUUGGGACCUCUCCCCUUCUCUUCCUUCCUCAGAAUGAUGUAACCACUUCCCUGGACACUCCCAGGUCCAGCCCACAGUGACCCAUCUCUUCCUCAAUACUGCUCUCUCUCUCCCGUGUCACAAGGGCUGCGGUGGGCUAACGAGGGAAGGGAGAAUGUCUGCCUGUGUUCCCUGCCUGAGGAACAUGAACCCUCCUGAGUAAAGAGCUUCUUCCCAGAGAACAGGAUAGAAUUGGGGUGCUUACAUGCCCCCAAACUCUCUGACCACCAGUCACAGCAGAGCUCCAGCCUUCACCCUGAAACACACCCCUUAACUUUAUCUCUGACUUGACUCAGAAGGGGUGUGACUUCCUUACCUAUGGCUACUGAAGAGGCUGAAGAGGAAGAUAAAAGAGUAAAGGGUGAGUAGUAUGAUGAAUCAGCAAUCCCUCUGCUGUAUAUGCUCCCCUCUCAGAAGAAAGACUGCCUCUUCCAGAUCCUUCUGCAGCUCAGCAUGGCCUAUGUAAUGCUCACACGUCGGCUGGGAUCCUCGGAGGAUGCUUUGUUGAUGACUGAGAUGUAGGUGUGGUUGCUGGAGCUCGAGGAUCCCCAUAGGAUCGUGGGGUAGGAGGUUUAAGGAAGACAACUCAAAAGGAGCUGCCUGGAAUUCUGAGGACUUUGUGAACCACCAAGCCAACUCUGAGUUUUAAAAAAUAAAGUCUAUAUAUGAUGUGUAA